UACGAAGGGGGCUAGCGUUGUUCGGAAUCACUGGGCGUAAAGUGCUCGUAGGCGGAUCUUUAAGUCAGAGGUGAAAUCCCAAGGCUCAACCUUGGAACUGCCUUUGAUACUGGGGAUCUCGAGUCCGGGAGAGGUGAGUGGAACUGCGAGUGUAGAGGUGAAAUUCGUAGAUAUUCGCAAGAACACCAGUGGCGAAGGCGGCUCACUGGCCCGGUACUGACGCUGAGGAGCGAAAGCGUGGGGAGCAAACAGG
This 253-nucleotide ribosomal RNA is filed under the name uncultured bacterium. Its description in RNAcentral is "partial 16S ribosomal RNA". It matches the Rfam family "Bacterial small subunit ribosomal RNA", at positions 524 to 776 of the family's 1533-position model. The record is from RNAcentral.